AAACAACAGGGAUUGCUCAGUAACGGCGAGUGAAGCGGCAACAGCUCAAAUUUGAAAUCUUGGCCCUAGGCCCGAGUUGUAAUUUGCAGAGGAUGUUUCUGGCGAGGUGCCUUCCGAGUUCCCUGGAACGGGACGCCAUAGAGGGUGAGAGCCCCGUACGGUUGGUCGCUAAGCCUCUGUGAAACUCCUUCGACGAGUCGAGUAGUUUGGGAAUGCUGCUCUAAAUGGGAGGUAUACGUCUUCUAAAGCUAAAUACCGGCCAGAGACCGAUAGCGCACAAGUAGAGUGAUCGAAAGAUGAAAAGCACUUUGAAAAGAGGGUUAAAUAGUACGUGAAAUUGUUGAAAGGGAAGCGCUUAUGACCAGACUUGGACCGGUUGAUCAUCCAUCGUUCUCGGUGGUGCACUCUGCCGGUUCAGGCCAGCAUCAGUUUGUACCGGGGGAUAAAGGCUUUGGGAAUGUGGCUCCUCCGGGAGUGUUAUAGCCCACUGUGUAAUACCCUGGGAUAGACUGAGGUUCGCGCUCCGCAAGGAUGCUGGCGUAAUGGUCAUCAGUGACCCGUCUUGAAACACGGACCAAGGAGUCGUCUUCGUAUGCGAGUGUUCGGGUGUCAAACCCCUACGCGUAAUGAAAGUGAACGUAGGAGAGAGCUUCGGCGCAUCUCCGACCGAUCCUGAUGUUCUCGGAUGGAUUUGAGUAAGAGCAUACGGGGCCGGACCCGAAAGAAGGUGAACUAUGCUUGUAUAGGGUGAAGCCAGAGGAAACUCUGGUGGAGGCUCGCAGCGGUUCUGACGUGCAAAUCGAUCGUCAAAUAUGAGCAUGGGGGCGAAAG
Molecule: ribosomal RNA, 831 nt
Filed under: Verruciconidia persicina
Lineage: Eukaryota; Fungi; Ascomycota; Sordariomycetes; Hypocreales; Bionectriaceae
Description: eukaryotic LSU rRNA
Rfam family: Eukaryotic large subunit ribosomal RNA
Source: RNAcentral